This 3327-nucleotide ribosomal RNA is filed under the name Lachancea kluyveri. RNAcentral's name for it is "21S ribosomal RNA". The stretch from base 128 to 1812 matches the Rfam family "Bacterial large subunit ribosomal RNA", at positions 15 to 2044 of the family's 2925-position model. The record is from RNAcentral. Lineage: Eukaryota; Fungi; Ascomycota; Saccharomycetes; Saccharomycetales; Saccharomycetaceae.
AAUAAUAGAUUUGAAAUAUUUAUAAAAAAGAUUUAAAGGGAUAAUCAUAGAAUACAAAAGCUAUUAAUAGUAAAGGUUACUAAUAAAAAAUAAUAAUUANAUUAAUUUUUAUUUUUUUAAAACCUAAGGGAAACCUAAAAAAAAGACUAAGUGAACUGAAACAUCUAAGUAACUUAAGGAAAAAAAAUCAACCGAGAUAUCAUAAGUAUUGGUGAGAGAAAAUGAUAAAUAGUCAUAUUNAUAAAAAUUAAUAAUAAAAAAGUAUUAUGUAAGAAAAUAUGUAAGAAAAUAGGACAAACUAGUUCUAAGACUAAAUAGUAUUAAUAAGCAAAAUAAGUACCGCAAGGGAAAGUAUGAAAAUGGUUAUUCUAUAAGCAGUUAUAGAUAAAAAAUCAAUAACGUACCUUUUGUAUAAUGGGUCAGCAAGUAAUUAAUAUUAGCAAAAUAAAAAAAUUAAAAAAAAAUUGAAUAAAAAAAAAAUUGUGUAAAAAGUUAAUAUUAAUUGACCCGAAAGCAAAUGAUCUUAUUAUGACAAGACGGAAAAAAUUAAUAAAUAAAAAAGUUAAUAAAACGGUCGAACAGGUUGAUGUUGCAAAAUCAUCUGAUUAGUUGUGAUAAGUGGUGAAAGACAAAUCUGAUUUGCAGAUAGCUGGUUUUCUAUGAAAUAUAUGUAAGUAUAGCCUUUAUAAAUAUAAUUAUUAAUAAAAAUAAUAUAAAUUUAUUAAAGAACGGUACAGCUACAAAUAUCAAUAAUUAAAAAAAAGUUAUUAUUUGGGGAACUAUUGCAGUUUUAUCAAAGAUAUUAGAUCUCGAAAUGUUUAAUUAUAUAGAUAAAGAGUCAGACUAUGCGCGAUAAGGUGAAUAGUCUAAAGGGAAACAGCCCAGAUUAAGAUAUAAGGUUCCUAAUUAGAUAAUAAGUGAAAAAAAUAUUAAAAUAUUAUAAUACAAUCAGUUGAUGGGUUUGACAAUAACCAUUCUUUAAUGAACAUGUAACAAUGCACUGAUUUAUAAAUAUAUAUAAUAUUUCAAAUUAUAAUAAUAAUAUUUAAUUAUUAUUAUUAUAUUAAUAAAUAAUAUACGGAUCUUAAAAAAAAAUAUAAUUAUCUAACCGAAUAUCUAAAUAUUAUUAUAUAAAAUAAAUAUAAUAAUAUGGUAAUAGAACAUCUAAUGAAAAAUAUUAUUAAUUAAGUUAAUUAAUAAUAAAAAUAAAAUAAAAAAAGGUAAUUAGAUAGAGAAUGCUGACAUGAGUAACGAAAAAAAGGUAAAAACCUUUUCACCUAAAGCAUAAGGUUUAACUAUAAAAGUACGGCCCUUAAGUUAAAUAANGAAUAAAAAUAUAUUAACGAUAGGAUAAAUCUAAAUAAAAAAAAGGUCAACUUAAUUAUUAAUAAUANAAAAAAAAAUAAUAAACUAAUAAAGUUCAAGAAAUAAAUUUUAUGAAUACCGUAAUGUAGACCGACUCAGGUAUGCAAGUAGAGAAUAUGAAGGUGAAUUAGAGAAUUAAAGGGAAGGAACUCGGCAAAAAAAGCUCUAACGUUAGUCAAUAAAGAGAAAUAAAAACAAAGUUGUCCAACUGUUUACUAAAAACACCGCACUUUGCAGAAACGAUAAGUUUAAGUAUAAGGUGUGAACUCUGCUCCAUGCUUAAUAUAUAAAUUAAUAAAUUAAAAAGAUGAAUUAAUUAAAGUUAGGUAAAUAGCAGCCUUAUUUUGAGGGUUCUAAGGUAGCGAAAUUCAUUGUCCACUAAUUAUGGUCCUGCAUGAAUGACGUAAUGAUACAACAACUGUCUCCCCUUUAAGCUAAGUGAAAUUGAAAUCGCAGUGAAGAUGCUGUGUACCUAUAGUGUGACGGAAAGACCCUAUGCAGCUUUACUGUAGUUAGAUAGAUCGAAUUAUUAUAUAUCAUAUUCAGAAUAUUAAGUAAUUGUUUAAAUAUUAAUGAGAUACUUAUUAUGAUAUUAUAUAUAAAUUAUAUAUUUAUAUUAUAAUAAUUCUAAUCCUAUAUAAUAUAUUUAAUAGAUAAUUCUUAAAUAUAAUAAUAUAAUUAAUUUUUAUAUUAAUUUAUAUUAUUAUUAGGAGACAAUCUCUAAUUGGUAGUUUUGAUGGGGCGUCAUUUUCAGCAAAAAUAUCUGAAUAAGUCCAUAUACAUAUUAUAAUAUUAUUAAUAAUAAAAAAAAAUAUAAAUUAUAUAUAUUAAUUGUAAAUAGGGAUAUAUUUAUAUUUAUAUAAAUAUAUCUUAGUAAUAGAAUAAAAUAUGUACAGUAAAAUUGUCUGGAAAACAAUAAUAAUAAUAUAAAAAAUUUUAUAUUAUAUAAUAAAAUGUAUUAAAUUAAUAUAAUGGUAUAACUGUGCAACAAUUGUAACACAAACAAGUGAAACAAGUACGUAAGUAUGGCAUAAUGAACAAAUAACACUGAUUGUAAAGGUUAUUGAUAACGAAUAAAAGUUACGCUAGGGAUAAACUAUCCUAUUGUCCCAUUAUAUUGUGAAAUAUAAUUAUCCUUUUCUUCCUUUAUUUAAUUUUUAUUUUAUAGGAAGAAAAUGGAGUAAAUUGGGUGAAUUGCAAGAAUAUCCUAAUAUUAUUAUAUAAAUAAAAUAAAUAAUAUUGGACAAUUUGCAGCGAAGUUUAUAACAACCUUCAUUAUUAUUAAUUAAUUAAUUAAUUUCUAUAAAUAAAAAAUAAAUAAAAAUGGUUAUAAAAACGUUCAACGACUAGAUAAUGAGUUAGGUUAACAAUAAUUUAUCCACGAGUGCCCAAUAUCAAAUAAUUAAUAAUUAUUUGAUAAUGACAUAGUCUAAACAAUUUGGUAACAAAUUGAUAAAUACUAAAAUUUAUAUAUAUAUAAUAAAAAAUAUUAAUAUAAAUUUUAUAAAAAUAAAAAUAUUUAUAAAAUAAUAAAUUGAACAGGGUAAUAUAGCGAAAGAGUAGAUAUUGUAAGCUAUGUUUGCCACCUCGAUGUCGACUCUACCUAUCCUCUUGGUUGUAAGUGCUAAGAAGGGUUUGACUGUUCGUCAAUUAAAAGGUAACGUGAGUUGGGUUAAAUACGAUGUAAAUCAGUAUGGUUCCUAUCUACUAUAGGUAAUAUUAUCAACUUAAGACUCAUUCUUAGUACGCAAGGAUCAGAAUGAAUUAACCUAUGGUGUAUCUAUUGAUUAUUAUAUAAUAUAUAUAUAUAUAUUUUUUUAUAUAUAUAUUAUCUAUAUUAGUUUAUAUUUUAAUAAUAGUCAUAGUAGAUAAGCUAAGUUAAUAAAAAAUAAAUAUUGAAUGCAUAUAAAAUAUGAAGUUGCCUUAAGAUGAGAUAAUUAUCUGAUUAUUUUAUACUAAAAU